Molecule: ribosomal RNA, 253 nt
Filed under: uncultured bacterium
Lineage: Bacteria
Description: partial 16S ribosomal RNA
Rfam family: Bacterial small subunit ribosomal RNA
Source: RNAcentral
UACGUAGGGUGCUAGCGUUGUCCGGAUUUAUUGGGCUUAAAGAGCGCGUAGGCGGCCGAGUAAGUCCGACGUGAAAUCUGGAGGCUCAACCUCCAGCGGUCGUUGGAAACUACUCGGCUAGAGACCGGAAGAGGAGAGUGGAAUUCCAGGUGUAGCGGUGAAAUGCGCAGAUAUCAGGAAGAACACCGAUGGCGAAAGCAGCUCUCUGGGACGGUACUGACGCUGAGGCGCGAAAGCGUGGGGAGCGAACAGG